RNAcentral lists this ribosomal RNA (451 nucleotides) under uncultured bacterium. Its description in RNAcentral is "partial 16S ribosomal RNA". It matches the Rfam family "Bacterial small subunit ribosomal RNA", at positions 354 to 796 of the family's 1533-position model. The record is from RNAcentral.
GUGGGGAAUAUUGGACAAUGGGGGGAACCCUGAUCCAGCCAUGCCGCGUGUGUGAAGAAGGCCUUUUGGUUGUAAAGCACUUUAAGCGAGGAGGAGGCUACCGAGAUUAAUACUCUUGGAUAGUGGACGUUACUCGCAGAAUAAGCACCGGCUAACUCUGUGCCAGCAGCCGCGGUAAUACAGAGGGUGCGAGCGUUAAUCGGAUUUACUGGGCGUAAAGCGUGCGUAGGCGGCUUUUUAAGUCGGAUGUGAAAUCCCCGAGCUUAACUUGGGAAUUGCAGUCGAUACUGGGAAGCUAGAGUAUGGGAGAGGAUGGUAGAAUUCCAGGUGUAGCGGUGAAAUGCGUAGAGAUCUGGAGGAAUACCGAUGGCGAAGGCAGCCAUCUGGCCUAAUACUGACGCUGAGGUACGAAAGCAUGGGGAGCAAACAGGAUUAGAAACCCUUGUAGUCC